UGCAAGUCGAACGGUAACAUGAUUAGCUUGCUAAUUGAUGACGAGUGGCGGACGGGUGAGUAACGCGUAGGGAUCUGCCUUGGUGUGGGGGAUAGCCCGGAGAAAUUCGGAUUAAUACCGCAUACGCCCCAUGGGGGAAAGAGUGCCUCUUCUUGAAAGCAUUCGCACUGAGAUGAACCUGCGUAAGAUUAGCUAGUUGGUGAGGUAAAGGCUCACCAAGGCGACGAUCUUUAGCUGGUCUGAGAGGAUGAUCAGCCACACUGGGACUGAGACACGGCCCAGACUCCUACGGGAGGCAGCAGUGGGGAAUAUUGGACAAUGGGGGCAACCCUGAUCCAGCCAUGCCGCGUGUGUGAAGAAGGCUCUAGGGUUGUAAAGCACUUUCAGUAGGGAGGAAAAGUUAGUAGUUAAUAACUGCUAGCCCUGACGUUACCUACAGAAGAAGCACCGGCAAACUCCGUGCCAGCAGCCGCGGUAAUACGGAGGGUGCGAGCGUUAAUCGGAAUUACUGGGCGUAAAGCGCGCGUAGGCGGCCUGAUAAGUUGGAUGUGAAAGCCCUGGGCUCAACCUGGGAACUGCAUUCAAAACUGUCAGGCUAGAGUAUGGUAGAGGAUAGUGGAAUUUCCGGUGUAGCGGUGAAAUGCGUAGAGAUCGGAAGGAACAUCAGUGGCGAAGGCGACUACCUGGAUUAACACUGACACUGAGGCACGAAAGCGUGGGUAGCAAACAGGAUUAGAUACCCUGGUAGUCCACGCCGUAAACGAUGUCAACUAGCCGUUGGGAGACUUGAUCUUUUAGUGGCGCAGCUAACGCGAUAAGUUGACCGCCUGGGGAGUACGGUCGCAAGAUUAAAACUCAAAUGAAUUGACGGGGGCCCGCACAAGCGGUGGAGCAUGUGGUUUAAUUCGAUGCAACGCGAAGAACCUUACCAAUCCUUGACAUCCAGAGAAAUCAGCAGAAAUGCAGACGUGCCUUCGGGAACUCUGUGACAGGUGCUGCAUGGCUGUCGUCAGCUCGUGUUGUGAAAUGUUGGGUUAAGUCCCGUAACGAGCGCAACCCUUAUCCUUAUUUGCCAGCACAUUAUGGUGGGAACUCUAAGGAGACUGCCGGUGACAAACCGGAGGAAGGGGGGGACGACGUCAAGUCAUCAUGGCCCUUACGACCUGGGCUACACACGUGCUACAAUGGCAAGAACAGAGGGACGCGAAGCCGCGAGGUGGAGCUAAUCCCAGAAAGCUUGUCGUAGUCCGGAUUGGAGUCUGCAACUCGACUCCAUGAAGUCGGAAUCGCUAGUAAUCGCGAAUCAGAAUGUCGCGGUGAAUACGUUCCCGGGCCUUGUACACACCGCCCGUCACACCAUGGGAGUGGAUUGCACCAGAAGUAGCUAGCUUAACCUUCGGGAGGUCGGU
Molecule: ribosomal RNA, 1409 nt
Filed under: uncultured prokaryote
Description: partial 16S ribosomal RNA
Rfam family: Bacterial small subunit ribosomal RNA
Source: RNAcentral